GACGAACGCUGGCGGCGUGCUUAACACAUGCAAGUCGAACGGAAAGGCCCCUUUGGGGGUCCUCGAGUGGCGAACGGGUGAGUAACACGUGAGUAACCUGCCCUUGACUUCGGGAUAACUUCAGGAAACUGGGGCUAAUACCGGAUAGGAAUCCUUGCUGCAUGGUGGGGGUUGGAAAGCUUCGGCGGUUUUGGAUGGACUCGCGGCUUAUCAGCUUGUUGGUGGGGUAGUGGCUUACCAAGGCUUUGACGGGUAGCCGGCCUGAGAGGGCGACCGGCCACAUUGGGACUGAGAUACGGCCUAGACUCCUACGGGAGGCAGCAGUGGGGAAUAUUGCACAAUGGGCGGAAGCCUGAUGCAGCAACGCCGCGUGCGGGAUGACGGCCUUCGGGUUGUAAACCGCUUUCAGCAGGGGCGAAGCUUGUGGUGACGGUACCUGCAGAAGAAGCACCGGCUAACUACGUG
Molecule: ribosomal RNA, 465 nt
Filed under: uncultured bacterium
Lineage: Bacteria
Description: partial 16S ribosomal RNA
Rfam family: Bacterial small subunit ribosomal RNA
Source: RNAcentral